RNAcentral lists this ribosomal RNA (550 nucleotides) under uncultured bacterium. Its description in RNAcentral is "bacterial SSU rRNA". It matches the Rfam family "Bacterial small subunit ribosomal RNA", at positions 355 to 896 of the family's 1533-position model. The record is from RNAcentral.
UAGGGAAUCUUCGGCAAUGGACGGAAGUCUGACCGAGCAACGCCGCGUGAGUGAAGAAGGUUUUCGGAUCGUAAAGCUCUGUUGUAAGAGAAGAACGAGUGUGAGAGUGGAAAGUUCACACUGUGACGGUAUCUUACCAGAAAGGGACGGCUAACUACGUGCCAGCAGCCGCGGUAAUACGUAGGUCCCGAGCGUUGUCCGGAUUUAUUGGGCGUAAAGCGAGCGCAGGCGGUUAGAUAAGUCUGAAGUUAAAGGCUGUGGCUUAACCAUAGUACGCUUUGGAAACUGUUUAACUUGAGUGCAAGAGGGGAGAGUGGAAUUCCAUGUGUAGCGGUGAAAUGCGUAGAUAUAUGGAGGAACACCGGUGGCGAAAGCGGCUCUCUGGCUUGUAACUGACGCUGAGGCUCGAAAGCGUGGGGAGCAAACAGGAUUAGAUACCCUGGUAGUCCACGCCGUAAACGAUGAGUGCUAGGUGUUAGACCCUUUCCGGGGUUUAGUGCCGUAGCUAGCGCAUUAAGCACUCCGCCUGGGGAGUACGACCGCAAGGUUG